Non-coding RNA from Ictidomys tridecemlineatus (thirteen-lined ground squirrel), 72 nucleotides. Lineage: Eukaryota; Metazoa; Chordata; Mammalia; Rodentia; Sciuridae. The record is from Rfam.
GGGGUUGUGGCUCAGCAGUAGAGCGCUCGCCUAGCACAUGUGAAGCCCUGGGUAUGAUCCUCAGCAACUACA